GUGAAGAACGCAGCGAAAUGCGAUAAGUAAUGUGAAUUGCAGAAUUCAGUGAAUCAUCGAAUCUUUGAACGCACAUUGCGCCCGCUAGUAUUCUGGCGGGCAUGCCUGUCCGAGCGUCAUUUCAACCCUCAAGCCCCCGGGCUUGGUGUUGGGGAUCGGCGAGCCUCCGCGCCCGCCGUCCCCUAAAUCUAGUGGCGGUCUCGCUGUAGCUUCCUCUGCGUAGUAGCACACCUCGCACUGGGAAACAGCGCGGCCACGCCGUUAAACCCCCAACUUCUGAACGUUUGACCUCGGAUCAGGUAGGAAUACCCGCUGAACUUAAGCAUAUCAAUAAGCGGAGGA
This 342-nucleotide unclassified non-coding RNA is filed under the name soil metagenome. Its description in RNAcentral is "partial contains 5.8S ribosomal RNA, internal transcribed spacer 2, and large subunit ribosomal RNA". The stretch from base 2 to 119 matches the Rfam family "5.8S ribosomal RNA", at positions 37 to 154 of the family's 154-position model. The record is from RNAcentral.